CUGCUACGCAUGCAGUCGAACGAUGAAGCUGGUGCUUGCACUGGUGGAUUAGUGGCGAACGGGUGAGUAACACGUGAGUAACCUGCCCCUGGCUCUGGGAUAACUGCUGGAAACGGUAGCUAAUACUGGAUAUGAACCGUACGGGCAUCUGUUGCGGUUGGAAAGAUUUUUCGGUUGGGGAUGGGCUCGCGGCCUAUCAGUUUGUUGGUGGGGUAGUGGCCUACCAAGACGACGACGGGUAGCCGGCCUGAGAGGGUGACCGGCCACAUUGGGACUGAGACACGGCCCAGACUCCUACGGGAGGCAGCAGUGGGGAAUAUUGCACAAUGGGGGAAACCCUGAUGCAGCAACGCCGCGUGAGGGAUGACGGCCUUCGGGUUGUAAACCUCUUUUGGCAGGGAAGAAGCGAGAGUGACGGUACCUGCAGAAAAAGCGCCGGCUAACUACGUGCCAGCAGCCGCGGUAAUACGUAGGGCGCGAGCGUUGUCCGGAAUCAUUGGGCGUAAAGAGCUCGUAGGCGGUUUGUCGCGUCUGCUGUGAAAGCCUGGGGCUCAACUCCGGGAUUGCAGUGGGUACGGGCAGACUAGAGUGCGGUAGGGGAGACUGGAAUUCCUGGUGUAGCGGUGGAAUGCGCAGAUAUCAGGAAGAACACCGAUGGCGAAGGCAGGUCUCUGGGCCGUUACUGACGCUGAGGAGCGAAAGCAUGGGGAGCGAACAGGAUUAGAUACCCUGGUAGUCCAUGCCGUAAACGUUGGGUGCUAGACGUGGGGGC
Molecule: ribosomal RNA, 772 nt
Filed under: mesophilic bacterium enrichment culture clone OTU_7
Lineage: Bacteria
Description: bacterial SSU rRNA
Rfam family: Bacterial small subunit ribosomal RNA
Source: RNAcentral